Molecule: ribosomal RNA, 620 nt
Filed under: Hylodes ornatus (ornate tree toad)
Lineage: Eukaryota; Metazoa; Chordata; Amphibia; Anura; Hylodidae
Description: partial 12S ribosomal RNA
Rfam family: Bacterial small subunit ribosomal RNA
Source: RNAcentral
UGUGAAAACGCCCUUAAAUCCCCCCUAGGGAUAAGGAGCUGGUUUUCAGGCACGAAAAUCCGCCCAAAACACCUAGCUAUGCCACACCCACAAGGGAAUUCAAGCAGUGAUUAACAUUGAACAUAAGCGCCAGCUUGAUUCAGUUAAAGUAAAAAGAGCCGGCAAAUCUGGUGCCAGCCGCCGGCGGUUACCCCAUGUGGCUCAAAUUGAUACCUAUCGGCGUAAAGCGUGAUUAAAGCUCCUAUUUUAUUGAAGUUAAAUUAAAACUAACCCGUGACACGCUUGUUUUACAGAAAUCCAUAAACGAAAGUUACUUCAAUUUAAACAACUUGAAUACACGACAGUCGAGACACAAACUGGGAUUAGAUACCCCACUAUGCCCGACCGUAAACUUUAAAUUACAUCCCCAUCGCCAGAGAACUACGAGCAAAGCUUAAAACUCAAAGGACUUGACGGUACCCCAUAUCCCCCUAGAGGAGCCUGUCCUAUAAUCGAUAAUCCCCGUUCAACCUCACCACUUCUAGCUUAUCAGCCUGUAUACCUCCGUCGUCAGCUUACCACGUGAGCGAAACUCAGUGAGCCUAAUGUCCAUACGUCCAUACGUCAGGUCAAGGUGCAGU